AGAUUGAACGCUGGCGGCAGGCCUAACACAUGCAAGUCGAGCGGUAGAGAGGUGCUUGCACCUCUUGAGAGCGGCGGACGGGUGAGUAAUGCCUAGGAAUCUGCCUAGUGGUGGGGGAUAACGUUCGGAAACGGACGCUAAUACCGCAUACGUCCUACGGGAGAAAGCGGGGGACCUUCGGGCCUCGCGCCAUUAGAUGAGCCUAGGUCGGAUUAGCUAGUUGGUGAGGUAAUGGCUCACCAAGGCGACGAUCCGUAACUGGUCUGAGAGGAUGAUCAGUCACACUGGAACUGAGACACGGUCCAGACUCCGUACGGGAGGCAGCAGGUGGGAAUAUGGACAAUGGGACGAAAGCCUGAUCCAGCCAUGCCGCGUGUGU
Molecule: ribosomal RNA, 379 nt
Filed under: uncultured soil bacterium
Lineage: Bacteria
Description: bacterial SSU rRNA
Rfam family: Bacterial small subunit ribosomal RNA
Source: RNAcentral